Molecule: transfer RNA, 59 nt
Filed under: Lepidothrix coronata (blue-crowned manakin)
Lineage: Eukaryota; Metazoa; Chordata; Aves; Passeriformes; Pipridae
Also listed under: 1 other name
Rfam family: tRNA
About the family: Transfer RNA (tRNA) molecules are approximately 80 nucleotides in length.
Source: Rfam by way of RNAcentral
UGGCUCAGUUGGUUAGAGCAUAGUGCUAAUAAUGCCAAGGUUGUGGGUUUAAUUCCCAU